UUUUGAAAAAUUUGCUCUAGGGUGCAAAGAGUAAAAUCUGUCUCAACUCAGCAAGUGAUUGAAGUGACAGAUAAAAUAUGGUGGUGGUGGUGUAGGUGGUUUCAGUAGGGGCACCAUGAUUUUCAUUUUUUAUUUUUACCAUCCAUAGUUACUCCUAUACCACCUACUCUUUCCCAAUUUCCAAAUGUCACUCUUGCUCAAAUUCUUUCUGCCAGCUUAAGCUUUCUGAGUCUGCCCCUUUCAGCAUUGUUCCCACAUGAACCAGUACCUUCCCUUGGCACCCUGACAUGGUUGUUCUCUGUGGGCUUUGAUUGAAGUCAGCAGCAGUCACCUGUUGAGUUAUAUGAAAGAAAGAUAAGGUCUGAGGAUGAAUGUCUGUUGGCACAGGAGUUCCAGUUGCUAAUGGGGAUCUAUGAAAGUAAAACAUCAGAAACAGGAAAAAAAAUAAGUAAAAGGCUUUUAUUACCCCUUUCUUUCAGGCUCAGAACUUUAGAAGUGUGUUGUCACCCAGGAAAAGAGCACAACAUGGAAAUGUGUGGCACUUACACAGGUUGCAUUUGGACGGAGAGAGACGAGAGGCCGGCAGCUGCAAACAGCAGAGACAGUAAUGACAUGGUGGCUUCACAAAACUCAACUUUGAAGAAUUUGGUGAUGGCAUAGCGUUACUCAUCAGACAGAGCCUGGACCAGAGCCACAGUGGAAAUCGUGUGCUUGGCAAACAAGCCCCUUCAGCAUUGUUCCAUGUGAUCCCAAGUGAACCAAGCAAGAGCAUCCUCUCUUUGCAAAUGCAUCAGCCUGGGGGACCUCAGACAGCACAGGACUGGAUUAAGAAUCCUGCCUUCAGGAAGACAAGUGGUUAAAAUGAAUGGUUCAGUUCUGAUUGCCAUGGCCCUAACUUCUCCAGGCCUGAAACACAAAGCUCCCCUUCCUUGUACGGCAUUCAAUUGUACCUGCUUCUCACUCACCUGAUGUUCUCCUAGCAUUUUCUCAUGUCAUUACUGUGAUGCAGUUACUAUGAGAAAGCAGGUAUGUCUCAGGCACUGAAUCAAUCACUUACUCUGAACAAGAUUUAUGUGGCUCUAGACACGCCCGUGCACUCUGCACCCUGCUACUGUAUCAGCUCUGACUAUUGGAUGACAUUGUAUCAGACAUUGGGAAAGUGAGCAUUUAGCUUAGGAAGGGAAAGUGAAAUCUGCCUGACAUUACCAAAGAUAUCAGACUUUGUUUCUUGUCACAGUAACAGGUGACAGCUGCAAUCCAGGACUUCAGCAUAUCCAACGACAUAGUGUGGAAAUUGACUUCAGGACAUUCACUGAGGAGCUUCCCCUACUAGGUCAAAAAUGUGUUUUUCCAACACCCAGAUUCAUGUCAUCCAGCACAGAGAUGAUCUGCAUACCUUAAGGGACUGAUAAUUGUCUUCUGUAUUCUUUUCUAUGCUCAAUCUAUUGCAAGUUCAAAAAAUAAAACCAA
This is a long non-coding RNA of Vidua macroura (Pin-tailed whydah), 1470 nucleotides long. RefSeq lists it as uncharacterized. The record is from RefSeq and is a predicted model, not a curated record. NCBI's taxonomy places the organism in Eukaryota, Metazoa, Chordata, Aves, Passeriformes, Viduidae. The transcript is spliced from 4 exons.